AUUGAACGCUGGCGGCAGGCCUAACACAUGCAAGUCGAGCGGAUGAAGGGAGCUUGCUCCUGGAUUCAGCGGCGGACGGGUGAGUAAUGCCUAGGAAUCUGCCUGGUAGUGGGGGAUAACGUCCGGAAACGGGCGCUAAUACCGCAUACGUCCUGAGGGAGAAAGUGGGGGAUCUUCGGACCUCACGCUAUCAGAUGAGCCUAGGUCGGAUUAGCUAGUUGGUGGGGUAAAGGCCUACCAAGGCGACGAUCCGUAACUGGUCUGAGAGGAUGAUCAGUCACACUGGAACUGAGACACGGUCCAGACUCCGACGGGAGGCAGCAGUGGGGAAGAUUGGACAAUGGGCGAAAGCCUGAUCCAGCCAUGCCGCGUGUGUGAAGAAGGUCUGCGGAUUGUAAAGCACUUUAAGUUGGGAGGUAGGGUAGUAAGUUAAUACCUUGCUGUUUUGACGUUACCAACAGAAUAAGCACCGGCUAACUUCGUG
Molecule: ribosomal RNA, 484 nt
Filed under: uncultured bacterium
Lineage: Bacteria
Description: partial 16S ribosomal RNA
Rfam family: Bacterial small subunit ribosomal RNA
Source: RNAcentral